This 1732-nucleotide ribosomal RNA is filed under the name Parabacteroides distasonis. RNAcentral's name for it is "partial 23S ribosomal RNA". It matches the Rfam family "Bacterial large subunit ribosomal RNA", at positions 1 to 1745 of the family's 2925-position model. Lineage: Bacteria; Pseudomonadati; Bacteroidota; Bacteroidia; Bacteroidales; Tannerellaceae. The record is from RNAcentral.
GAGAAAGUAAGCAAGGGCAGACGGUGGAUGCCUUGGCUCUCGGAGGCGACGAAGGACGUGAUAAGCUGCGAAAAGCUCGGGGGAGGCGCAAAUAGCCGUUGAUCCCGGGAUAUCCGAAUGGGGCAACCCGGCAGGCUGAAGGCCUGUCAUCCCGAAAGGGAGGCGAACGUGGGGAACUGAAACAUCUAAGUACCCAUAGGAGGAGAAAAUAAACAAUGAUUCCGUAAGUAGUGGCGAGCGAACACGGAAGAGCCCAAACCCGUGUCGUCUAGGCGAUACGGGGGUUGUAGGACCACGACGUGGCAAGAUAGAGUCAAGUGGAACGCCUUGGAAAGGGCGACCGUAGAGGGUGAUAGUCCCGUACACGACUGACGAUUGAAGCCUAGUGGUAUCCUGAGUAGCGCGGGGCACGAGAAAUCUUGCGUGAAACAGCGGGGCCCAUCCCGUAAGGCUAAAUACUCCCGAGAGACCGAUAGCGAACCAGUACCGUGAGGGAAAGGUGAAAAGAACCCCGAGCAGGGGAGUGAAAUAGACCCUGAACCCGUCUGCCUACAAGCGGUCGGAGCGUCGUAAUGACGUGACGGCGUGCCUUUUGCAUAAUGAACCUACGAGUUACCUUCCCCGGCAAGGUUAAGUUCUUGAGGAACGGAGCCGAAGCGAAAGCGAGUCUGAACAGGGCGCCAAGUCGGGGGGGGUAGACGCGAAACCGAGUGAUCUACCCUUGGCCAGGUUGAAGGUUGGGUAACACCAACUGGAGGACCGGAUGGGUAAGCGUUGAAAAGCUUUCCAAUGAGCUGAGGGUAGGGGUGAAAGGCUAAUCAAACUCGGAGAUAGCUCGUACUCCCCGAAAUGCAUUUAGGUGCAGCCUCUUUAUAGUAUAUCGUGAGGUAGAGCGACUGAUUGGAUGCGAGGGCUUCACCGCCUAUCAAGUCCAGAUAAACUCCGAAUGCGCGAUAUAUAUUUACAGGGAGUGAGGGCGCGGGUGCUAAGGUCCGUGUCCGAGAGGAGAAGAAUCCAGACCACCGGCUAAGGCCCCCAAAUGAUCGUUAAGUUGAACUAACGAGGUCGGAUCGCAGAGACAGCUAGGAUGUUGGCUUGGAAGCAGCCAUUCAUUUAAAGAGUGCGUAACAGCUCACUAGUCGAGCGAUCUGGCGUGGAUAAUAAUCGGGCAUAAACGAUCUGCCGAAGCCGUGGAUGUCGCAAGACAUGGUAGGGGAGCAUUCCAUGCCGCGUCGAAGAUGAGGGAUGACCCUUGUUGGAGCGCAUGGAAAAGCAAAUGUAGGUAUGAGUAACGAUAAGGGGGGCGAGAAACCCCCCCGCCGAAAGACCAAGGUUUCCUGAUCAACGCUAAUCGGAUCAGGGUGAGUCGGGACCUAAGGCAAAGCCGAACGGCGCCGCCGAUGGAAGAAUGGGUUAAUAUUCCCAUACUGCCUCAUGGAGUGACGUGGAGACGGAGAAGUGACAGUCCUGCCGGCUGACGGAAUAGCCGGUUGAAGGGUGUAGAUAUUGAUUCCCGUAGGCAAAUCCGCGGGGAGAGUCGAACCUGAGAGUAUACGGAGCGCUUGCGCAACGUAAUAUGGACGUAACCAUGCUCCCGAGAAAAUCCGCUAAACUUAUCCAUGCGGCACCCGUACCGUAAACGGACACACGUGGUCGGGUUGAGAAUACUGAGGCGCUCGAGUGAUUCACGGUUAAGGAACUAGGCAAAUUGACCCUGUAACUUCGGGAUAAA